UCAUAUUAUCAAGGGCCUAAAUACAUCCUUAACGAAAGUUUUCGUUAACUAAACGUUAACAAAUCGCAUCGCGCACGUCUCACCCAUCGACCAGGCCCGCGCACCGUCGUCUCGUCUCACGAGAAAAGAAGAAGGAUCUGGAGAGGUCAUUGCCGUCCACCCCCAAUCCCGUCAUGCCUUCUCUCCGGCCGGCCACGACAGCGACAAGGACCAGCGUCGCGGAGGCUGCCCCAUCGCCGACCACCACCAUAACCCCUCCUCCUUGCCGUCUCCUCCGCCCCCUUCCCGGUAUCCUUGACUUACCUUAAAGUAUGGUACCGAUGCAAUCUCCUCCGACGCCGACCUCCACAAGCAGCCCCGCGACGCGGUCUGCAUCAUGGAGAGCCGUAAUGUCGGCAGUGGUGACAAGCACUGCCUCUUCAGCAGGGGCGAUGGCCGUGACAAACCCGGCGUCAACACCUACAAGGUAAAAAAACAAGUUCAUUAGGGGCAAGGUGCGCGUAUCAGGCAACUGCAUGAAACAGGAUUGAAUGCAUAUGCAGAGGCUGGGAAUCAAACUUGUUGUACAACUGUUACUGAUGAUGCAAAUUAUACAGAAUCAUGCAAGCGCUCACUGUUACAUUACAGAUACAUGAUACUACUAGCCAAUAGGCAGUUAGUUAAAACGGCGUUAUAUGACAAGGUCAAGCAGUGAAACUUGAAUAAUGCUGCUUGAAAACAGCAGUAAGAAACUGCAACUAAUAUACACUAUUGUAGGAAUAACCCGAUAAAUGGCUCGAAUAUGACAAAUCCAGAUACCAUAACCAUACCAGCUAAGUGCGCACUAGCAUCAUGAAACAACCAGAGAUUCAGAACGAGCCCUUGCUCUGAAAUCCUUAGAAUCUAGGGACUUAGAUUUGAGCCAUCUAUCAGGUUAUUCUUAAAACAAACAGACAACAAUAGCUGCAUUCCUCAAGCAAAUCAAAGGGCACACAACACUGACAAUUCACCAUACUAGAUGUUACACGUCGCUGUCCAUUUCAUAAGAGUGAUCAGUACCAGAGUGUAGGUGUUACGGUAUAAUCAGACGAGUAAAUGGGUAAUCGAUUGGCUAAACUAAGAAUAUGGUGGAUGCAUGGCAGAGCAGGUGGAGGCCCUGGAGGGAGCUUCGGGAAGGUCACUACUUAACAAUGUAUCUGGCAGACACUUCAAAAUUAGAAUCUGAUUUCCACCUGAAAGUGACGAGUAGCGAAUUAUAAAUGGUCUAAGUUUUCUGGCAAAAAACGUAAUCGUCUAUGUUUAUCGUGCACGAUAUUCUGGACUUUUAGUUUAAGCAAGAUUUUGUUCGUUUAUGUUCAGAUUUCUUUUCUUGAGCAUUUUUUUUCUGUUCUGACAUAAAAUUUCAUACUUGAUCACUAAGACAUUGAUUCACUGAUGUAUGAAGUGAGACAACACUCUGCUGGAUGAAAGCAUCACUCCUCGCCUGAAGAUAUGUGACCGGUUAUUUGAAGCUACUUUGUGUUAAUCUGGUCGCCUGGUGCCGGAUUGUUUAUGUAUUUGACGAUUGUUCUUAUAUAUCAUCUCUAGCAUCACAACAACAAAAAUAAACCAUCUUACUGUAGUAACUGAUAAUAAACGGAAGGUGUGAUGGAUACUAAAUUUUAGUCGAUCUGCAGUCAUGUUGCUUUGUAUUGUAAAGUCUUCAAUGUAGAAGUUAAUCAUGUUGUUUCUUUAGGAUUAAGAAAAAAAGUCAAACCGAGUCCUAGUAGUAUUAGGAUUUGUAGUCCUAGUCUAUUUCCAUAGUCCCUUGUGGACGUGUAUAAAAGACACCCUAGGGGUGUUGAUUGUAACACCAGAAAAACGAAAAGCAAUACAAAGCAAAGGCUCGACACGGGCCUUUAGCCAUUAAAUCCAUCGAUCAGUUUUAUUCGUGUCGCUAGUUACGCAAAUUCCGUCAAGUAGCCGUCCGAAGCAAGAAUCGCGUAGCCACGCCUGUACAGCUGCAUACGCACGUUCAAAAGCCAACAAUUGGUAUCUAGAGCAUCUACGAUCUACGAUCUACGAUGACGGACAGCGACGCUAAGUCGGUCAAGUCCGACAGCGGCGGUGCCAAGGCGAACAAGAAUGAUGACAAGGUGAAGAAGGGCGUCAAGUCAGCAACCAGUGGUGGAGGAAUGAGCGGCGCCAACGUCCAGGCGCAUCGCAACAUCCCCAUCCAGUACCCGAUGCUCACCGACGCCAACUACGGCGUGUGGGCGGUGAAGAUGAAGAUUAUUCUUCGAUCCCUUCGAG
RNAcentral lists this long non-coding RNA (2271 nucleotides) under Hordeum vulgare. RNAcentral describes it as "long non-coding RNA (HVUL_LNC020623)". Lineage: Eukaryota; Viridiplantae; Streptophyta; Magnoliopsida; Poales; Poaceae. The record is from RNAcentral.